Molecule: long non-coding RNA, 650 nt
Filed under: Ananas comosus (pineapple)
Lineage: Eukaryota; Viridiplantae; Streptophyta; Magnoliopsida; Poales; Bromeliaceae
Description: long non-coding RNA (ACOM_LNC010805)
Source: RNAcentral
UUAUUAAUAAUUAUUAUUAAUAAUUAGAUAAUCGAUAUUAUUAUUAAUUUAUUAUUUAUAAUUAAUUAUUAUCAUUUAUUAAUAAUAAUUAUUAUUUAUUAUUAAUAAUUAUUAUUAUUAAUAAUCAGAUAAUCGAUAUUAUUAUUAAUUAAUAAUUAUUAAUAAUUAUUACUAAUAAUUAGAUAAUCAAUAUUAUUAUUUUAUUAUUUAUAAUUAAUUAUUAUUAAUAAUUUAUUUAUUAUUUAUUUUAAGUAAUAUUUUGAUGUUAAUUAAUUGGAUAAUCUGAUUUUAAUUUCAAAUUAUAACUCUUAUUCCUCUUAUUCCAAUCUAACCAUCCAAAUAUUAUUUAUCUUAUUUCUAGAAACAACCUAAUUUUCAUCCAAAUGCAAAAUUAGUCUAGUUCCUGCUUAUACCUAAACUUAUACCUAUCCCUAUCCGAACCAAACGCAGCCCGAGAAAAUAGAGAUUUUAUAAUAUAGUGGAGAUAAAGUUACUAAAUUAUCCAUAUAUUAAAGAACCAAAAUGCUCUUUUCAGAGUACCUGGUAACCGGUAUUUCUCUCAAAAUGAUCUGCAAUUACAGGUCUGUUUGAGAUAAAAAAAAAAAUUUCAAAUUCAAAUUCAAAUUAAGGAUGUAGAAGGAAAUGAAAUA